Molecule: long non-coding RNA, 1143 nt
Filed under: Amphimedon queenslandica
Lineage: Eukaryota; Metazoa; Porifera; Demospongiae; Haplosclerida; Niphatidae
Description: uncharacterized LOC109583617, transcript variant X2
Source: RNAcentral
GGGAUAGCUGAGAGUACGAGUGUAGACCUCGCCACAGACACGACUUUUAAACUCAUGAAGAAGACCUGUUUCUACUACUAUUAUCUACCCUCAGUGAUCCAGAAACCUCCAACCGUCUAAUUUAAAGAUUGCCGCUUAUGCCCGAUUCGUUGUGAUGACUUUAGCGGUAGUACUAUGUUCCUUCAAAUGCAGUCUACUUCAAAUGAGACAAAGAGGAGCCUCACUGUCAGCGGGAUGGUAAUGCUGAUGACCUUGAUGUCAGAUGGAGUUCUGGUAAUGAAACUGUGGCACUAGUUAAACAUGAUAAAACUGAGCCUGAUGUUUUACUAUAGCAGCACCAGACUGAACACAUUUACAUUUACAUUUAUAUAGAAGUAUGUUUGAUAUUUACACUAUAAACACGAUUGAUUAUGAGGUGACACAAUUUAAAAGAAUGCAUGAGUUAGAGGGGUUACAAGAUAGACUCAGUACAAGACCUGAUGUGUUUGAUGAUGUUGAAGCAGAACACAACGUUGACAUAUUAACUGCUGAAAUAUCUUAAAUGCUCAGUAGGGCUAAGCAAGGAUUAGCAGACAGCUAAAAUGGAUCAGAUCAAGAAAAGAAAUUUUCUAAAAAUGUUGUAUCAUCGCUAGCAAUCACACUGCAAGAUCUUUCAGUGGAUUUCACAAUUAUCUUAUUUUAAAACAAGAACAAGAGCCCAUAUACAGCAGAGGAUACAACAAGUAGUUCAUGAAGUGAAGACAAAGUCAUCAAAAGUCAAACAGAAAGUAUUAAUGAACGCCAGCAGACAAUCGAGGGAAGCACUAAUGCACAAUCAAACUCAAAAGAAACUUGUUGGAAUUGUGGUAGGAAGGCUGCAGUGGUGCAGUAAAGCAAGAUACUGUGGUAAUUACUGCCAACAUAAGACUAGGACAGACACCUUAAGCAUUGUUCAACGUACGUCAUUAUCAUCUUCUAAUAAUAGUAACACAUCUGGUGUAAUAGGACGUGCCACUAUUUGUAACAGAUCAGGUAGUAGAGGUCACAUUUCAAUAACUCGUCAACACUCAAACAGGACCGCACCCUUAAGCCUCACCUCAACCAUCACAUGUCCACUGACCACUCAUUAAUCACAGUACCUACUACAAAUCUUCGUUUAGUUAA